CCGGGAGGGAAGAAAGCGCGGGGGAUGGCUUGGCUUUAAAGCGGAGGGCACCGUUGCGCGCCGUGGAGACCAGGCGAUCGUAGCGGAGGAAGCGGGACGCCGACGGGAGAGGGGGUGGAAGCCGCCCACGCUUCAUCCAACCCCCCACCCCUCCUCUCCUCCUCCUCCUCCGCCGCCUCCUACCUACACCGUUAGAGCCGUUUCGUAGUCNNN
RNAcentral lists this long non-coding RNA (213 nucleotides) under Oryza brachyantha (malo sina). RNAcentral's name for it is "long non-coding RNA (OBRA_LNC001443)". The record is from RNAcentral. Lineage: Eukaryota; Viridiplantae; Streptophyta; Magnoliopsida; Poales; Poaceae.